This 1240-nucleotide long non-coding RNA is filed under the name Anas platyrhynchos platyrhynchos (common mallard). Its description in RNAcentral is "lncRNA (ENSAPLG00000017735.1)". The record is from RNAcentral. Lineage: Eukaryota; Metazoa; Chordata; Aves; Anseriformes; Anatidae.
AAGGUCUCUCACAAGCAUACAGCAUCAAGUAUUUGCUUUAUUACUAUUACAUAAAGGACUUAUAAAGGAAGCCUCAGUCAGAGCCUCAGCCAGUCCAAACUGGACCAGGAUCACGAAUUUAGGGAAGGCAGCAAGCGUUUUCCAUCUCCUAACCUACACAAUUCCUGCCACCCUAACAAUUUAAACUAAUAUAGCACCUGGCCCCUUCUGAGUCUCCAUCUUAUUAGAAACACAUUGACUCUGACGGCUGCCUGGGAAGCCAAGAACCACAUUCAUCACUGGGGUAUCUCAUCUGACAUCAGUGAGAUCAGACUUUGGCUUUUAUCCUCCAAACAGUGCACAAUUUUUACACAGGACCUAUAUGAAAAUUAACCUUCAGCGCUGCACUAAUUCUGUGGUAUUUGGAGAAAGGCACAGAAUAUCGUUCUUUGUUCAAAAGUUCUAUUAAAAGAAUCCUUGAUCAGCUGUCUUCAUGUGAAAAGCUUUUUGUCCAUUGGUACAGAAGAAGGGAAAAGCAGCCUUGGGAUGAAGGCAGCGCUCGUGGCACUGAGAGCCCGCAACAGGCACAGAAUCGCCAGACCAGACAGGCAGCAAGCUAGUUAAGAACAAAGAUGCAGGAGACAUGUGUAAGCCCCUUUUCCCAAAAAAUACCUGUGCAGAGGUAUGGAAACAGCCAGUAUUCCUCAGCGACGGCUGAGCUGUUAGUUUGCAGCAGCUGGUAGGGCCAGACCGUGCUGUCAGGAAUGCCGUAGCCUGGAGAACAGAAGAAUGGAAACUCACUAUAUAUUACUUGGGUUGUAUGCUCUGAUUUUGUUUUGGUUUCAGCUGCUGAAAAGAAACAAGAAGACAGGAAGAAGUUCUGUUUAAUGGACAGCAAGUGCAUGAAUCAAGAGGAGGCAAUGGAAAAAAUAAUUGAAUGUUACAAAGGCCUUGCUCAGCACAUCUCUAUCUUCAGACUCGAGAGGGAAGGAAACCAUCUGCAGAGCGUAAAGUAUCCUUGGCACGACCGCGAUCCUCCAGGCAGCUGCUCUCCCGGCCAUGAGAGGGGGAGCUGGUUUCAGUGCCUCUGAUUUCCCCGUGAAUUAUGUGAAGUUCAAGUGGUUCAAACCAGUGACUGGGGUAUUUUUGCAUGUAAAUAAUCUCAUUAAGUCUUGAUCACUAACUCGAUAACUUUGUGGUUUCCUAAAUGGUCCAGUGGGGAAAAAAUAAAUGGGCUUCAUACCAAGAUCGAAUGAAUAAC